UGUAGAGAGGGGUGAAGGUUGC
Molecule: microRNA, 22 nt
Filed under: Sarcophilus harrisii (Tasmanian devil)
Lineage: Eukaryota; Metazoa; Chordata; Mammalia; Dasyuromorphia; Dasyuridae
Description: Sha-Mir-7398-P21_5p (mature (co-guide))
Source: RNAcentral